GAUGAACGCUGGCGGCGUGCCUAAUACAUGCAAGUCGAGCGAACGGACGAGAAGCUUGCUUCUCUGAUGUUAGCGGCGGACGGGUGAGUAACACGUGGAUAACCUACCUAUAAGACUGGGAUAACUUCGGGAAACCGGAGCUAAUACCGGAUAAUAUUUUGAACCGCAUGGUUCAAAAGUGAAAGACGGUCUUGCUGUCACUUAUAGAUGGAUCCGCGCUGCAUUAGCUAGUUGGUAAGGUAACGGCUUACCAAGGCAACGAUGCAUAGCCGACCUGAGAGGGUGAUCGGCCACACUGGAACUGAGACACGGUACAGACGCCUACGGGAGGCAGCAGUAGGGAAUCUUCCGCAAUGGGCGAAAGCCUGACGGAGCAACGCCGCGUGAGUGAUGAAGGUCUUCGGAUCGUAAAACUCUGUUAUUAGGGAAGAACAUAUGUGUAAGUAACUGUGCACAUCUUGACGGUACCUAAUCAGAAAGCCACGGCUAACUACGUG
This 497-nucleotide ribosomal RNA is filed under the name uncultured bacterium. RNAcentral describes it as "partial 16S ribosomal RNA". It matches the Rfam family "Bacterial small subunit ribosomal RNA", at positions 28 to 507 of the family's 1533-position model. The record is from RNAcentral.